Molecule: ribosomal RNA, 868 nt
Filed under: Gaeumannomyces radicicola
Lineage: Eukaryota; Fungi; Ascomycota; Sordariomycetes; Magnaporthales; Magnaporthaceae
Description: LSU rRNA
Rfam family: Eukaryotic large subunit ribosomal RNA
Source: RNAcentral
CAACAGGGAUUGCCCUAGUAACGGCGAGUGAAGCGGCAACAGCUCAAAUUUGAAAUCUGGCCCCAGGCCCGAGUUGUAAUUUGCAGAGGAUGCUUUUGGCAAAGCGCAUACCGAGUCCCCUGGAACGGGGCGCCACAGAGGGUGAGAGCCCCGUAUGGUACGACGCCGAGCCUCUGUAAAGCUCCUUCGACGAGUCGAGUAGUUUGGGAAUGCUGCUCUAAAUGGGAGGUAAAUUUCUUCUAAAGCUAAAUACCGGCCAGAGACCGAUAGCGCACAAGUAGAGUGAUCGAAAGAUGAAAAGCACUUUGAAAAGAGGGUUAAAUAGCACGUGAAAUUGUUGAAAGGGAAGCGCUCGUGACCAGACUUGCGCCGGGCGGAUCAUCCAGCGUUCUCGCUGGUGCACUCCGCCCGGCUCAGGCCAGCAUCGGUUUUCGCCGGGGGACAAAAGCUUCGGGAACGUGGCUCCCUUCGGGGAGUGUUAUAGCCCGUCGUUUAAUACCCCGGCGGGGACCGAGGACCGCGCUUCGGCAAGGAUGCUGGCGUAAUGGUCAUCAGCGACCCGUCUUGAAACACGGACCGAGGAGUCAAGCAUUAGUGCGAGUGUUUGGGUGUAAAACCCGCACGCGUAAUGAAAGUGAACGUAGGUGAGAGCUUCGGCGCAUCAUCGACCGAUCCUGAUGUUUUCGGAUGGAUUUGAGUAGGAGCAUUAACGCUUGGACCCGAAAGAUGGUGAACUAUACUUGAAUAGGGUGAAGCCAGAGGAAACUCUGGUGGAGGCUCGCAGCGGGUUCUGACGUGCAAAUCGAUCGUCAAAUUUGAGUAUAGGGGCGAAAGACUAAUCGAACCCAUCUAGUAGCUGGUUACCGCC